RNAcentral lists this transfer RNA (72 nucleotides) under Cavia porcellus (domestic guinea pig). It matches the Rfam family "tRNA". Rfam says of the family: Transfer RNA (tRNA) molecules are approximately 80 nucleotides in length. Lineage: Eukaryota; Metazoa; Chordata; Mammalia; Rodentia; Caviidae. The record is from Rfam by way of RNAcentral.
GGAGAUGUGGCUCAGAAGUAGAGUACUUGCCUAGCAUACAAGAGUUUUUGGGUUCGAUCCCUAGCGCUACCA